Molecule: ribosomal RNA, 468 nt
Filed under: uncultured bacterium
Lineage: Bacteria
Description: partial 16S ribosomal RNA
Rfam family: Bacterial small subunit ribosomal RNA
Source: RNAcentral
GACGAACGCUGGCGACGUGCUUAACACAUGCAAGUCGAACGGAAAGGCCCUGCUUUUGUGGGGUGCUCGAGUGGCGAACGGGUGAGUAACACGUGAGUAACCUGCCCUUGACUUUGGGAUAACUUCAGGAAACUGGGGCUAAUACCGGAUAGGAGCUCCUGCUGCAUGGUGGGGGUUGGAAAGUUUCGGCGGUUGGGGAUGGACUCGCGGCUUAUCAGCUUGUUGGUGGGGUAGUGGCUUACCAAGGCUUUGACGGGUAGCCGGCCUGAGAGGGUGACCGGCCACAUUGGGACUGAGAUACGGCCCAGACUCCUACGGGAGGCAGCAGUGGGGAAUAUUGCACAAUGGGCGGAAGCCUGAUGCAGCAACGCCGCGUGCGGGAUGACGGCCUUCGGGUUGUAAACCGCUUUCGCCUGUGACGAAGCGUGAGUGACGGUAAUGGGUAAAGAAGCACCGGCCAACUACGUG